GCCAGCGUAGCUCAGUCGGUAGAGCGGCUCACUCGUAAUGAGCAGGUCACGGGUUCGAUUCCUGUCGCUGGCUCCA
This 76-nucleotide transfer RNA is filed under the name Thermotogota bacterium ADurb.Bin062. RNAcentral's name for it is "Thermotogae bacterium ADurb.Bin062 tRNA-Thr". It matches the Rfam family "tRNA". Rfam says of the family: Transfer RNA (tRNA) molecules are approximately 80 nucleotides in length. The record is from RNAcentral. RNAcentral also lists the same sequence under 2 other names. Lineage: Bacteria; Thermotogati; Thermotogota.